This is a non-coding RNA of Musa acuminata subsp. malaccensis (wild Malaysian banana), 2303 nucleotides long. The record is from RefSeq and is a predicted model, not a curated record. Lineage: Eukaryota; Viridiplantae; Streptophyta; Magnoliopsida; Zingiberales; Musaceae.
UUUUUUGUGUGUGGAUUUGCAGAGUUUCAACAGCUAGAUUGCUUGAACUCCCUGCGGACCUUUGUGUGACUUGAUGGAAAAGCUAUGCUUCAGGAGAAUGGGGCUGCCCUCCUGUAGUUCAAACACCCCACCUGUAGGAGAAAAAACUCUGAUCAAAAUUCACAUUUUUACAGUGCAAGCAGCUUCCCUAUCACUCGCUGGGAGGGUACAUGGAUUGACGCAAAGUUGUAGUGGUUCAACAUCUGCACACCUGCCAACAAAGUAGAAACAUGCACUCACUACAAGUGAGAAAGAACUCCAUGGCCUCUUUGGUGAACAAGCAAUCUCAACAAUUCCCCACGACACAAGUCUCCCAAGAUUAGCUCUGGCAGAAUGAUAUCUGCCCACUGUUGACUGAAAACAGACAAGGAGAACGGGAAGACGAGCAGCAGUAGUUGCCUUUCCAGACCACAAGCUUCACAAGUUUUGCACUUAGUAAAACCAAGGUUCGUCAUUUCGGGUACCGGACCCGUCUCAGAGAUUUAUCGGUAUGGUACAUAUCAGUCUGCACCGAUAUACCGGUGUACUGACACAUGGUACGCCAAGACCCUGCUGAUGUGGAUUCGGACAAACUGUAUCUCAGUGACGAGUCGGAUCGAUACGUACCGCCCAUACCAUACCAACUCGGUUGGUACAGCAAACCGUGGGUAAGACAACAAGUUAGUGUCAUGUAGAGUCGAGUACUGAUGGGGCUUGGUGUUACAAAGAUAAUACAGGGGUGUGGGUUUCUUAAUUAAGAACUCUAAUAGCAGAUGUUUUCAUUUCUGGUGGCAGGUUUGUACAGGACAGCUCAGGUUGUAGCUGCGAAGCCUUCAUGGUGAAGGAUGGGUUGCAAUCACACGACUAUUGGUAUAAAGUGAUGCUGCCAACUUGGUGGAGGUUCUCAACAAAAAGAAACCAUUCCCUUGACGACAGCUUAAUAUUUUUGAUGCAAUCAGCAUCAAUCAUAUACAGGGAGACCAACAAAGAUGCCAAUUGGGUGGCUGGCUUUUCUCGGACCUUCAGAUUCAUGCACAGAUAGAUGGAACUGUAGAUGUAUACUGAAAGGGCUGUCAAUUUUUUGAAGCAUGCUCGGACUAGAGAAAGUGAGAAGAGGAAAGGAGAGGGGGUGUAAGUUAGGUUUCCACUAUUUGCACAGUGAUCUGCUGCAGCUGAGUUCCCCUGCUGUCAUUAUCAAGAAUCUCCCCACAGUGAUUGAGCUAUAGAUCGGCAACUUGUUCCAGACAUUUUCACUUUCUGAAGGUUGGCAAGCACCCACAAACUCCUUGUCUCUUUGUGAAAACCAGAUCAACAUUGUUGCAGGAGUCCAUCCCAUGUCAUGGAUUUUAUCUUGUUUCCAUCUGGAAUCUGAAACACAAAGUCCGAUUCAUGUCUUCUUUAUCUUAUCAUGUCACCAUAACUUAUAUCUGAGUUCCUAUCGUAUGAAAGUAAUAAGAUCUUGCUAGAUCUACAACUUGAGUUUUUGGAUUCCCUCAACAGUUUGCUCAAGUUAUAUCUGCAGUUUCCUGCAAGGUUUUCCAGGUACUAAUCAGAAGAACUUUAGACUUGAGCAAGAACAAAAAGCAUCUCAGAAUCAUUUCAACUUUACACUGCUUUAUAUAUGCCUUCCAUUAGUUUUUUGACUUCUACUCAAAGUUGUCGGCCAUAUGAUCUCAAAGAUACGCACAUUUCAAAGCUAUAGUCAACUUCUCACAGUAAUCUUUGGGGUUGCUUUUGGGCAGGUGCUAAUCCUCUUCAAUCAUGCCUUCGACUAUGGCCGUUCAAUUCUCCUAUCAGUACUGUCAGCUGAUCUCGAUUCUACCCACCACUGAUGAGUCCAUGAAGGAUCACAACUCCUUUGGCUACUACUACUAUUGGAUAAGCUUGUCUGCAUCAGUUGUUCAUAGACUCGGUUCGACCUACAAGUCAAUGACUUGCCAACUCUGAUCUACUUUUCCUCUGAUGAUGAAGUUUACCUCUGUUUGCAAGAUCGAGUGUCAUCGUGGCUUAAUAGAAUUAUUGUGAUCCUGAAGCCAAAUGUCACACAAGACAUGCUGCCUGCGUCCGAUCAUUAAUCUUUCCUGCAUCGUUCAGGCAUAUGUGCUACUAUUUGUGCUUGAUACAUGCAAACGUGCUGUCUACUGGAACAAGAACUCGAUGCACACAAGACUCGAUUCUCAGUAUUUUGGUAAUGAAAAAGGAGGCUAAUUUUAUUGCAACAGAACACUGGCAUUCCAGGCUUACACAACACUCUGAAAACAUCAAAAGACGAUCUUUUUUGCAUU